This 498-nucleotide ribosomal RNA is filed under the name uncultured bacterium. RNAcentral describes it as "partial 16S ribosomal RNA". It matches the Rfam family "Bacterial small subunit ribosomal RNA", at positions 30 to 523 of the family's 1533-position model. The record is from RNAcentral.
AUUGAACGCUGGCGGCAUGCCUUACACAUGCAAGUCGAACGGUAACAGGUCUUCGGAUGCUGACGAGUGGCGAACGGGUGAGUAAUACAUCGGAACGUGCCUAGUAGUGGGGGAUAACUACUCGAAAGAGUGGCUAAUACCGCAUGAGAUCUACGGAUGAAAGCAGGGGACCGCAAGACCUUGUGCUACUAGAGCGGCCGAUGGCAGAUUAGGUAGUUGGUGGGAUAAAAGCUUACCAAGCCGACGAUCUGUAGCUGGUCUGAGAGGACGAUCAGCCACAAAGGGACUGAGACACGGCCCAGACUCCUACGGGAGGCAGCAGUGGGGAAUUUUGGACAAUGGGCGAAAGCCUGAUCCAGCAAUGCCGCGUGCAGGAUGAAGGCCAUCGGGUUGUAAACUGCUUUUGUACGGAACGAAAAGCCCUGGGUUAAUACCCUGGGGUCAUGACGGUACCGUAAGAAUAAGCACCGGCUAACUACGUGCCAGCCGCCGCCGUAA